Molecule: transfer RNA, 72 nt
Filed under: Bos taurus (domestic cattle)
Lineage: Eukaryota; Metazoa; Chordata; Mammalia; Artiodactyla; Bovidae
Also listed under: 5 other names
Rfam family: tRNA
About the family: Transfer RNA (tRNA) molecules are approximately 80 nucleotides in length. Their secondary structure includes four short double-helical elements and three loops (D, anti-codon, and T loops).
Source: Rfam by way of RNAcentral
UCCACCCUAGCUCAAUUGGUAAAGAAUCUGCCUGCAAUGCACGAGACCCAGGUUUGAUUCCUGGGUCAGGAG